UGGGGAAUAUUGGACAAUGGGGGCAACCCUGAUCCAGCAAUGCCGCGUGUGUGAAGAAGGCCUUAGGGUUGUAAAGCACUUUAGGCUGGGAGGAAGACGUGUAGUUUAAGAGAUGAUACGUUUGACUGUACCGGCAGAAUAAGCACCGGCUAACUCUGUGCCAGCAGCCGCGGUAAUACAGAGGGUGCGAGCGUUAAUCGGAGUUACUGGGCGUAAAGGGCGCGUAGGCGGUUAUUUAAGUGAGAUGUGAAAUCCCUGGGCUUAACCUAGGAACUGCAUCUCAUACUGGAUAGCUAGAGUAUUGUAGAGGGUAGUGGAAUUUCCGGUGUAGCGGUGAAAUGCGUAGAGAUCGGAAGGAACACCAGUGGCGAAGGCGGCUACCUGGACAAAUACUGACGCUGAGGCGCGAAAGCGUGGGGAGCAAACAGG
RNAcentral lists this ribosomal RNA (429 nucleotides) under uncultured bacterium. RNAcentral describes it as "bacterial SSU rRNA". It matches the Rfam family "Bacterial small subunit ribosomal RNA", at positions 355 to 776 of the family's 1533-position model. The record is from RNAcentral.